Molecule: small nucleolar RNA, 107 nt
Organism: Eutrema salsugineum
Lineage: Eukaryota; Viridiplantae; Streptophyta; Magnoliopsida; Brassicales; Brassicaceae
Rfam family: Plant small nucleolar RNA R71
About the family: R71 is a member of the C/D box family of snoRNAs containing the C (UGAUGA) and D (CUGA) box motifs. Multiple nearly identical copies of this snoRNA have been identified in Arabidopsis, and it is thought to function as a 2'-O-ribose methylation guide for 18S ribosomal RNA.
Source: Rfam
AAACCAUGGUGAGGGCACUCUCUGCGGUACUCUUUGUAUCUCUCCCAAGCCUUGCAGAAGGCUUCUCCGGUUUGCUGUUGGAAUGUCGAGAUCUUGUUCCGUAGAGC